CAAUAGCGUAUAUUAAAGUUGUUGCGGUUAAAAAGCUCGUAGUUGGAUUUCUGCUGAGAACGACCGGUCCGCCCUUUGGGUGUGUAUCUGGCUCUUUCUUGGCAUCUUCUUGGUGAACGUUGCUGCACUUGACUGUGUGGAGCGCUACCCAGGACUUUUACUUUGAGGAAAUUAGAGUGUUUCAAGCAGGCAUACGCCUUGAAUACAUUAGCAUGGAAUAAUAAGAUAGGACCUCGGUUCUAUUUUGUUGGUUUCUAGAGCUGAGGUAAUGAUUAAUAGGGAUAGUUGGGGGCAUUCGUAUUUAACUGUCAGAGGUGAAAUUCUUGGAUUCGUUAAAGACGGACUACUGCGAAAGCGUUUGCCCAGGAUGUUUUCAUUGA
Molecule: ribosomal RNA, 380 nt
Filed under: uncultured eukaryote
Lineage: Eukaryota
Description: partial 18S ribosomal RNA
Rfam family: Eukaryotic small subunit ribosomal RNA
Source: RNAcentral